Molecule: unclassified non-coding RNA, 314 nt
Filed under: plant metagenome
Description: partial contains 5.8S ribosomal RNA, internal transcribed spacer 2, and large subunit ribosomal RNA
Rfam family: 5.8S ribosomal RNA (bases 1-105)
Source: RNAcentral
GAAAUGCGAUAAUUAAUGUGAAUUGCAGAAUUCAGUGAAUCAUCGAGUCUUUGAACGCACAUUGCGCCCCCUGGUAUUCCGGGGGGCAUGCCUGUCCGAGCGUCAUUGCUGCCCUCAAGCACGGCUUGUGUGUUGGGCUUCCGUCCCUGGCAACGGGGACGGGCCCAAAAGGCAGUGGCGGCACCAUGUCUGGUCCUCGAGCGUAUGGGGCUUUGUCACCCGCUCCCGUAGGUCCAGCUGGCAGCUAGCCUCGCAACCAAUCUUUUUAAACAGGUUGACCUCGGAUCAGGUAGGGAUACCCGCUGAACUUAAGC